This 120-nucleotide ribosomal RNA is filed under the name Sphaeramia orbicularis (orbiculate cardinalfish). The record is from RNAcentral. Lineage: Eukaryota; Metazoa; Chordata; Actinopteri; Kurtiformes; Apogonidae.
GCUUACGGCCAUACCACCCUGAACACUCCCGAUCUCGUCUGAUCUCGGCAGCAAACCAAGGGUCGGGCCUGGUCAGUACUUGGAGUUGAGACAUCCUGGGAAUACCAGGUGCUGUAAGCU